RNAcentral lists this ribosomal RNA (253 nucleotides) under uncultured bacterium. RNAcentral describes it as "partial 16S ribosomal RNA". It matches the Rfam family "Bacterial small subunit ribosomal RNA", at positions 57 to 305 of the family's 1533-position model. The record is from RNAcentral.
GCAAGUCGAACGAGAACGGGCCUAGCUUGGUUGGCUUUCAGCUAAGUGGCGGACGGGUGAGUAAUGUAUAGCUAAUGUGCCCCUUAGAGAGGGAUAACAGUUGGAAACGACUGCUAAUACCUCAUACUCCUUCUACAUUAAUUGGAGUUGGGAAAUGUUUUUUCGCUAAGGGAUCGGGCUAUAUGGGAUCAGGUAGUUGGUGAGGUAAGGGCCUACCAAGCCAAUGACGCCUAGCUGGUCUGAGAGGAUGAUC